Long non-coding RNA from Penaeus monodon (black tiger shrimp), 138 nucleotides. RefSeq lists it as uncharacterized. The transcript is spliced from 3 exons. The record is from RefSeq and is a predicted model, not a curated record. Lineage: Eukaryota; Metazoa; Arthropoda; Malacostraca; Decapoda; Penaeidae.
UACCUUCACCAUCAUGUUCACUAAGACCGUCCUCGCUCUCGCCCUUGUGGCCGUAACUUUGGCUGUUCCUUCACAGCCUUCCUACGGAUAUACUCCUCCUGCAACCUACGACGCUCCUGCAAGUAUGACUUCAAUUAU